UGGGGAAUAUUGGACAAUGGGGGGAACCCUGAUCCAGCAAUGCCGCGUGUGUGAAGAAGGCCUGAGGGUUGUAAAGCACUUUCAGAGGGGAGGAGGACUAUUAGGUUAAGAGCUAGAUAGUUGGACGUUACCCUCAGAAGCAGCACCGGCUAACUACGUGCCAGCAGCCGCGGUAAUACGUAGGGACCAAGCGUUGUUCGGAUUUACUGGGCGUAAAGGGCGCGUAGGCGGCAAUUCAAGUCAUCUGUGAAAUCUCCGGGCUUAACUCGGAACGGUCAGAUGAUACUGCUUUGCUAGAGUGCAGAAGGGGCAAUCGGAAUUCUUGGUGUAGCGGUGAAAUGCGUAGAUAUCAAGAGGAACACCUGAGGUGAAGACGGGUUGCUGGGCUGACACUGACGCUGAGGCGCGAAAGCCAGGGGAGCAAACGGGAUUAGAUACCCAAGUAGUCCCUGAGCGGGCUGGCAAGGCGCAU
Molecule: ribosomal RNA, 472 nt
Filed under: uncultured bacterium
Lineage: Bacteria
Description: bacterial SSU rRNA
Rfam family: Bacterial small subunit ribosomal RNA
Source: RNAcentral